GAUUAUGGCUCAGGAUGAACGCUAGCGACAGGCUUAACACAUGCAAGUCGAGGGGCAGCAUAAAAGUAGCAAUACUUGGUGGCGACCGGCGCACGGGUGAGUAACGCGUAUGCAACCUACCUAUCAGAGGGGAAUAACCCGGCGAAAGUCGGACUAAUACCGCAUAAGACAGGGACACCGCAUGGUGAUAUUUGUUAAAGAAAUUCGCUGAUAGAUGGGCAUGCGUUCCAUUAGGUAGUUGGUGAGGUAACGGCUCACCAAGCCGACGAUGGAUAGGGGAACUGAGAGGUUGGUCCCCCACACUGGUACUGAGACACGGACCAGACUCCUACGGGAGGCAGCAGUGAGGAAUAUUGGUCAAUGGGCGAGAGCCUGAACCAGCCAAGUCGCGUAGGAAGGAAGAAGGAUCUAUGGUUCGUAAACUUCUUUGCAGGGGAAUAAAGUGCAGGACGCGUCCUGUUUUGUAUGUACCCUGAGAAUAAGGAUCGGCUAACUCCGUGCCAGCCGCCGC
This 511-nucleotide ribosomal RNA is filed under the name uncultured bacterium. RNAcentral's name for it is "bacterial SSU rRNA". It matches the Rfam family "Bacterial small subunit ribosomal RNA", at positions 15 to 518 of the family's 1533-position model. The record is from RNAcentral.